UAUUAAGGGAUAUGUAUCCCACAUUGGAAAAUCAAUGGGACAUUAAGUAAUAUAUAAAGGGUUAGGGCCAAUCCACUAAUUGCCAAUUGGUUUUGAGUUGGAAGCCCAUAAUAAACCCGAUUCUAACAUGGUAUCAGAGCCCAGAUCUUAAUAAGUUAAACCCCUAAUUAAUAUUAACCCUACCCGACCGGGUAUAUAGGUCGUAAUUGACUCGCUCGACCGAGUAUAACUGUCUUAAAGUUCCGAGAUUUCUGGCCGAUAAGAGCCAUCAUCUCGAGGAGGGGUAUUAAGGGAUAUGUAUUCUACAUUGGAAAAUCAAUGGGACAUUAAGUAAUAUAUAAAGGGUUAGGGCCAAUCCACUAAUUGCCAAUUGGUUUUGAGUUGGAAGCCCAUAAUAAACCCGAUUCUAACAC
Molecule: long non-coding RNA, 413 nt
Filed under: Brassica rapa (field mustard)
Lineage: Eukaryota; Viridiplantae; Streptophyta; Magnoliopsida; Brassicales; Brassicaceae
Description: long non-coding RNA (BRAP_LNC002221)
Source: RNAcentral